RNAcentral lists this ribosomal RNA (468 nucleotides) under uncultured bacterium. RNAcentral describes it as "partial 16S ribosomal RNA". It matches the Rfam family "Bacterial small subunit ribosomal RNA", at positions 28 to 507 of the family's 1533-position model. The record is from RNAcentral.
GACGAACGCUGGCGGCGUGCUUAACACAUGCAAGUCGAACGGAAAGGCCCUGCUUUUGUGGGGUGCUCGAGUGGCGAACGGGUGAGUAACACGUGAGUAACCUGCCCUUGACUUUGGGAUAACUUCAGGAAACUGGGGCUAAUACCGGAUAGGAGCUCCUGCUGCAUGGUGUGGGUUGGAAAGUUUCGGCGGUUGGGGCUGGACUCGCGGCUUAUCAGCUUGUUGGUGGGGUAGUGGCUUACCAAGGCUUUGACGGGUAGCCGGCCUGAGAGGGUGACCGGCCACAUGGGGACUGAGAGACGGCCCAGACUGCUACGGGAGGCAGCAGUGGGGAAUAUUGCACAAUGGGCGGAAGCCUGAUGCAGCAACGCCGCGUGCGGGAUGACGGCCUUCGGGUUGUAAACCGCUGUCGCCUGUGACGAAGCGUGAGUGACGGUAAUGGGUAAAGAAGCACCGGCUAACUACGUG